This 492-nucleotide ribosomal RNA is filed under the name uncultured bacterium. Its description in RNAcentral is "partial 16S ribosomal RNA". It matches the Rfam family "Bacterial small subunit ribosomal RNA", at positions 29 to 507 of the family's 1533-position model. The record is from RNAcentral.
AGUGAACGCUGGCGGCAUGCCUAACACAUGCAAGUCGAACGGCAGCACCGUAAGAGCUUGCUCUUACGGGUGGCGAGUGGCGGACGGGUGACGUAUACAUCGGAUACCUCUCUUACGUGGGUGAUAACGUAGGGAAACUUAUGCUAACACCGCAUAUGUCCUACGGGUGAAAGCAGGCGUUCUUCGGGCUUUGCGCGAUUGUAUGAGCCGAUGUCGGAUUAGCUAGUUGGCUGGGUAAAGGCCCACCAAGGCGACGAUGCGUAGCUGGUCUGAGAGGAUGGUCCGCCACACUGGAAGUGAGACACGGUCCAGACUCCUACGGGAGGCAGCAGUAGGGAAUAUUACGCGAUGGGCGAAAGCCUGAUCCAGCAAUACCGCGGGAGUGAUGAAGGACUUCGGGUGGUAAAGCGCUGUUGUUAGGAAAGAAGAACAGCUGGUUUAUCCGCGACGAUACUGACGGUACCGAAAGAAUAAGCACCGGCUAACUUCGUG